GAUGAACGCUAGCUACAGGCUUAACACAUGCAAGUCGAGGGGAAACGAUAGAGAAAGCUUGCUUUUUCUAGGCGUCGACCGGCGCACGGGUGAGUAACGCGUAUCCAACCUGCCCACCACUUGGGGAUAACCUUGCGAAAGUAAGACUAAUACCCAAUGACGUCCAUAGAAGACAUCUGAAAUGGAUUAAAGAUUUAUCGGUGAUGGAUGGGGAUGCGUCUGAUUAGCUUGUUGGCGGGGUAACGGCCCACCAAGGCGACGAUCAGUAGGGGUUCUGAGAGGAAGGUCCCCCACAUUGGAACUGAGACACGGUCCAAACUCCUACGGGAGGCAGCAGUGAGGAAUAUUGGUCAAUGGGCGAGAGCCUGAACCAGCCAAGUAGCGUGCAGGAUGACGGCCCUAUGGGUUGUAAACUGCUUUUAUAAGGGAAUAAAGUGAGUCUCGUGAGACUUUUUGCAUGUACCUUAUGAAUAAGGACCGGCUAAUUCCGUGCCAGCAGCCGCGGUAAUACGGAAGGUCCGGGCGUUAUCCGGAUUUAUUGGGUUUAAAGGGAGCGUAGGCCGGAGAUUAAGCGUGUUGUGAAAUGUAGAUGCUCAACAUCUGCACUGCAGCGCGAACUGGUUUCCUUGAGUACGCACAAAGUGGGCGGAAUUCGUGGUGUAGCGGUGAAAUGCUUAGAUAUCACGAAGAACUCCGAUUGCGAAGGCAGCUCACUGGAGCGCAACUGACGCUGAAGCUCGAAAGUGCGGGUAUCGAACAGGAUUAGAUACCCUGGUAGUCCGCACGGUAAACGAUGGAUGCCCGCUGUUGGCCUGAAUAGGUCAGCGGCCAAGCGAAAGCAUUAAGCAUCCCACCUGGGGAGUACGCCGGCAACGGUGAAACUCAAAGGAAUUGACGG
This 898-nucleotide ribosomal RNA is filed under the name uncultured bacterium. Its description in RNAcentral is "bacterial SSU rRNA". It matches the Rfam family "Bacterial small subunit ribosomal RNA", at positions 28 to 916 of the family's 1533-position model. The record is from RNAcentral.